Molecule: ribosomal RNA, 342 nt
Filed under: uncultured bacterium
Lineage: Bacteria
Description: bacterial SSU rRNA
Rfam family: Bacterial small subunit ribosomal RNA
Source: RNAcentral
ACUCCUACGGGAGGCAGCAGUGGGAAGUAUUGCACAAUGGGCGCAAGCCUGAUGCAGCCAUGCCGCGUGUGUGAAGAAGGCCUUCGGGUUGUAAAGCACUUUCAGCAGUGAGGAAGGCGGAGUCGUUAAUAGCGGCCUCGUUUGACGUUAGCUGCAGAAGAAGCACCGGCUAACUCCGUGCCAGCAGCCGCGGUAAUACGGAGGGUGCGAGCGUUAAUCGGAAUUACUGGGCGUAAAGCGCAUGCAGGUGGUUUGUUAAGUCAGAUGUGAAAGCCCGGGGCUCAACCUCGGAAUAGCAUUUGAAACUGGCAGACUAGAGUACUGUAGAGGGGGGUAGAAUUU